RNAcentral lists this unclassified non-coding RNA (391 nucleotides) under soil metagenome. RNAcentral's name for it is "partial contains 5.8S ribosomal RNA, internal transcribed spacer 2, and large subunit ribosomal RNA". The stretch from base 1 to 122 matches the Rfam family "5.8S ribosomal RNA", at positions 35 to 154 of the family's 154-position model. The record is from RNAcentral.
GAUGAAGAACGUAGCGAAAUGCGAUACUUGGUGUGAAUUGCAGAAUCCCGUGAGCCAUCGAGUCUUUGAACGCAAGUUGCGCCCGAAGCCAUUAGGCCGAGGGCACGCCUGCCUGGGCGUCACACGUCGUUGCCCCCCCAUCUACUCCUUCGGGAUUGCGGGGGGCGGAUGAUGGCCUCCCGUGCGCCUCGCCGCGCGGUUGGCAUAAAUGCCAAGUCCUCGGCGACGCACGCCACGACAAUCGGUGGUUGCGAAACCUCGGUUGCCCGUCGUGUGCGGUCGUCGCGCAUCGAGGGCUCGAAAAAAUUGCCGGGUUCCGGCUCGGCUUUCAACGCGACCCCAGGUCAGGCGGGGUUACCCGCUGAAUUUAAGCAUAUCAAUAAGCGGAGGA